CUAUUGAUUGGAAUAUAGUGUAGCAAAAGAUGCUAUUUUUUAAUUUUAUUGCUUUCUUUUCAGUUUGAGUGGUGGUUCAUUUGUUGAAGACGAAUUUUCAAAUUGAAAAAAGAAAGAAUAUAUUAGAAAACAUGUUGGGGCUUCAAGUAGUGCACACAAUCAAGCUCGGGUUAAAUAUGAAUUGUUCUAGAAUCAAAAACAAAGUAUUCAAACCUGUCUCAUUAAGCAAUCGCUUCAAGCUCGAACAGAUUAUCGAAUUCAAUUGAAUGCGUCAAUUGAUUGUGUUAAAUUUAUUGUGUGACAAGGGUUGACAUUUCGUGGACAUGAUGAAUUUGAAGAUUCAAACAAUCAAGGAAACUUUCUUGAACUAUUGCAUUGGUUGUGUGAUCAUAAUGCUGAGAUUGAGGCCGUUCCUUUGACGAAUGCACCCAAGAAUUGCAAAUUAACAUCACCGAGAGUGUAAAAAGAUAUUGUAAGUGCUAUUGCUUUAGAAUGUCUACAUGUGAUUAUCAAAGAUGUUCAUGAUAGUUUCUUCUCAAUUUUAGUCGAUGAAUCUCAAGACAUUUCAGUGAAGGAGCAAAUGUUAGUUGUAAUUGGUUAUGUGAAGAAUGGGUGUGUAUUGGAACAUUUUAUUGGUGUCAUUCAUGUUUCGAGUACCACAGCUACCUCACUUAAAGCUGCAAUUGAUCAAUUAUUCUCAACGCACAGCUUAAGCAUAUCUAAUUCGAGAGCUCAGGGAUAUGAUGGAGCUAGUAACAUGCAAGGUGAGUAUAAUGGCCUCAAAGCACUUAUUUUGAAAGAAACCCCAAGUGAUUACUGCAUUCAUUGUUUUGCUCAUCAACUUCAACUAUUUCUUGUAGCUGUGGCACAGAAACAUCCAAAGAUUGAAACGUUCUUCACUACACUACACAAAUUUGUGAAUAUUGUUAGGGGAUCAGCUAAACAGAGUGAUCUUAUUCCAGAGAACCAAAGAUUGAAAAUUCUUGAAUCACUCAGUGCUGGUGAAAUAUCAAGUGGACGGGGUCUCAAUCAAGAAAUUACACUUUAGCGUCCUGGUGAUACACGUUGGGGCUCUCACUAUAGUUGUUUGAUUAACUUAAUUAUCAUGUUUCCAACCAUAGUCAACGUCAUUGAGAUGAUUGCUACUGACACUACAAGUACCAGAACAAGCGGCGAUGCAUAUAUUUCAUUGGAGAUGAUGUUAAGAUUUGAAUUUGCAUUUAAUCUACAUCUCAUGAAAAAGAUUUUAGGGAUUUCAAAUGAAUUGUCUAAAGCUUUACAAAGAAAAGAUCGGAAUAUUGUCAAUGCUAUGAGAUUGGUGCAAAUAUGUAAAUCUUAACUCCAAACCAUGAGGGA
RNAcentral lists this long non-coding RNA (1356 nucleotides) under Olea europaea subsp. europaea. The record is from RNAcentral. Lineage: Eukaryota; Viridiplantae; Streptophyta; Magnoliopsida; Lamiales; Oleaceae.